UAAUGCAAGUCGAGCGACAGAUAAGGAGCUUGCUCCUUUGACGUUAGCGGCGGACGGGUGAGUAACACGUGGGUAACCUACCUAUAAGACUGGGAUAACUUCGGGAAACCGGAGCUAAUACCGGAUAAUAUUUCGAACCGCAUGGUUCGAUAGUGAAAGAUGGUUUUGCUAUCACUUAUAGAUGGACCCGCGCCGUAUUAGCUAGUUGGUAAGGUAACGGCUUACCAAGGCGACGAUACGUAGCCGACCUGAGAGGGUGAUCGGCCACACUGGAACUGAGACACGGUCCAGACUCCUACGGGAGGCAGCAGUAGGGAAUCUUCCGCAAUGGGCGAAAGCCUGACGGAGCAACGCCGCGUGAGUGAUGAAGGUCUUCGGAUCGUAAAACUCUGUUAUUAGGGAAGAACAUACGUGUAAGUAACUGUGCACGUCUUGACGGUACCUAAUCAGAAAGCCACGGCUAACUACGUGCCAGCAGCCGCGGUAAUACGUAGGUGGCAAGCGUUAUCCGGAAUUAUUGGGCGUAAAGCGCGCGUAGGCGGUUUUUUAAGUCUGAUGUGAAAGCCCACGGCUCAACCGUGGAGGGUCAUUGGAAACUGGAAAACUUGAGUGCAGAAGAGGAAAGUGGAAUUCCAUGUGUAGCGGUGAAAUGCGCAGAGAUAUGGAGGAACACCAGUGGCGAAGGCGACUUUCUGGUCUGUAACUGACGCUGAUGUGCGAAAGCGUGGGGAUCAAACAGGAUUAGAUACCCUGGUAGUCCACGCCGUAAACGAUGAGUGCUAAGUGUUAGGGGGUUUCCGCCCCUUUAGUGCUGCAGCUAACGCAUUAAGCACUCCGCCUGGGGGAGUACGACCGCAAGGUUGAAACUCAAAGGAAUUGACGGGGUCCCGCACAAGCGGUGGAGCAUGUGGUUUAAUUCGAAGCAACGCGAAGAACCUUACCAAAUCUUGACAUCCUUUGACACCUCUAGAGAUAGAGCCUUCCCCUUCGGGGGACAAAG
Molecule: ribosomal RNA, 1000 nt
Filed under: Staphylococcus sp. A8.1
Lineage: Bacteria; Bacillati; Bacillota; Bacilli; Caryophanales; Staphylococcaceae
Description: bacterial SSU rRNA
Rfam family: Bacterial small subunit ribosomal RNA
Source: RNAcentral